Molecule: long non-coding RNA, 3267 nt
Filed under: Musa acuminata (dwarf banana)
Lineage: Eukaryota; Viridiplantae; Streptophyta; Magnoliopsida; Zingiberales; Musaceae
Description: long non-coding RNA (MACU_LNC004999)
Source: RNAcentral
CAAAACAUACACUAAAAAUAAAUAAAAGGAGAAACUUCAUAUUUGAAGUUUCAAUAAUGCUCUGAAUCAAGACCAGAUUAUCUGACUAUGGACUUUCCGAGGCAAAGAUAAACUUCAUAUUUGAAGUGACCAUUAACCCAUGCAAGAGUUUCAAGGCCACAUGACAUGACUGCUGAUCCAUAAAGUAAUGAACUUAAACCAUCUCUACCAUGGUUUGUGGAUCCAGCCCACACUCUCAUCCGAAUAAAAAUUAGCGGAGCCAGACCCAAAACCCGCACUCUUUGAGAGACUGUCAGAAUUCACAGAAUCAACCGGACUCGUAUAUAACUUACCAGGUUUAUACUCAAAAGAAUGGGAAAGAUGUAUUCUACAAGUCAGACCUCAAGAUUUAGAUAAAAGCCAAAUAUCUCUAAGCAAAAUAGUUAAAGGAUUUCUAGAACUAGAAUUAAAUUUAAAACCCUUCUUUCGAUCAGAAAAGACUAUGAUUAGCAUAUAUAAAAAAAUUUAAAACUUUGGCAUGCACCACUGGAAGAGCAAAAUGGGCAAACCUUUUGGAAGCAUCACAUAUAUAUGCAUUUGUUUGCCAUCAAAUUGUACAUUGUUGGGCUUCUCCAUGGCUGCUAAAGCAUCUGCCUGCAUAAAAAGAACAACUUAAAACAACUUCAGCCAUUCCUUGAAUCACCAAAAAUUCAGUUAAGUGAAACACAUAACUAGAGAAACAUGACCAAGCUAAAUGAAGUACCUUGGAUCUUCCACUUCCGUCAUAAUUAAUCAAGGCUUCAGAUCACUAACCUAUACAAAAAGCUCCUGGACCAGUUGAAAGCUAAUUUUAGACAGCCACAACAAGAGAAAAGACUUCCUAUUGUAUGGAGAUAACAGAAAGCCAACAUAAGAUAAUAUCUAGGCAUAUCCAAAAAUGUGAAAUCAUAUGUAAAAAAUGUGUAACUAAAACAAGACAACUUGUAUGUUUCGGAAUUGUCCACUCUUCAAAUAUGAUCUACAACAGCUUUGAAUUCUGGUUAGCGACCAUAUACGCCACAAGAAAUAAUUUGUCAGAAAAGCAGGGCAUGUCAUUUCAAGAUGAAUAUUCACUUUAAUGAAAAAUUGAAUUCUGGUUAGUGGCCAUAUAUGCCACAAGAAAUCUUGAUACUCUAUUUCUUUUUCUUGAAAGAGAGCUAACUGUACAGUGCCAACUAUCAAUCUCUUGUAUUGCAUAAUUAUCAUUAUUAUUUUUAUAAUGGUUUAUAUUAUUUUGUUAAGCAUGGAGAGCCUAUCAAAGAAAUCAAUAUCCAACAAACAUAAGCUUUAAUAUUGUGGGUAUUCAAGGAUAACACAUUUCCCAUGGAAGUCAAUCAUGAGGCUUGGGAGAUGUUUUGAGGAGGUUACAUGUGACAAAUCCUUAGACAUUUCACCUCUCUAUGUCUCCAAAGAAUAAAAGAGAAACUAAUUCAAUGUAAUCACUUCCUCCAAGUAUUGCUAAAGAAGCAUACAAACCUGAAGAGUUAUCUUAAAAUAUGCUUCAAGAAUCUGAAUGAUAGGUCCAUGAAUCACUGUAUGCAAAUAGAAUAACAGAAAAGGUGAAAUGAAACACUAUGGUUUAAAAAACCAUAUAAUUCUAAUCCAGAUGGACCCAUCCCUGAGUUGCCAAUUCAGGGUCCUAUAUCAACUUUACCAAUAAAGCAUGCCACAGUGUUCCUUGAUCUGGUGUUAGUCAUGGAUGGACAAAUGGGGAUUCAACCACUACAAUUUCCAGUCGGCCAAAUCCGUUGUCCGCUAGUCAGCAAAGAGGAGAAUGCUUGAUUGUCAUGUUUAUUUACUAAUUCUAAACUUUGAGUUAUGUUAUUUUUAAGUGAUCUUUUACCAAAAUCUUGUUUUCCUCAUUUUUUUCCUUUUUUUCUUUUUAGCCAAAAUUCUGAUCACCUGAUCGGUCUUGACUAACCCAGCGAAUCUCAAGAUUCUAAACCACACCAUCCACAGAAAGUCCUACUGUGUGAUCUCAACAAUGAAUUUCCAGAAACAAUAAAUAACAUCUAUUCCAUAUUCUUGUAUCUUGAAGUUGAGGGGGAAGCCAUUUUGUGUAACUGAACUACUGUCCCAUUUUUUUCCAUCGACAUAUUUCUUGAUUCUACUGCUAUUUGUUGGGUAAGCUUUCAAAUGACAUCUUACAAACUGGCAUUAAAGAAGUUAUUGCUGUAACACUUCGUUUAUCUAUCAAAGACAUGAGCUACAACGAUCCAGAUCUAUGACAAGCAGUGCAACCAAAAAAGAUUUAGAAAACCGAUCAAAAGACAAUAGAUAAUUCUUUUUUUAUGCAGUCUAACAAGAAAAUAAUAACGAUCAAACUGAAGGAAAUUAUAUUGGAAGAGAGAUAGAAAAGGCAAGAAAGAUUGCCUUCAUGGAAAACCGUAGCCGCUGCAGCCGUAUAAGCACUGAACCGCGGAUCCAAGUGAAGAGGUUUCGAUCGUAUGGGUGGUGGAGGACGAGAGUCACGUCCCAUCGAGUAUGGGGGAGACCGAUUCCCCAAACGGACGGGUAAGAAUCCGACGGAUUUCCCUCCACGAAAACUCUUACCGGCACCGGACUUCUUUCUUGUUCUUGAUGUUGCUGUCGAGGGACAUGUCCAAGGCCAUGAUCAUCGUCUGUGAAUCUACGCGGCUACGAUAGGGCGGGGAACGGCGUAUCAGCGAGGAUUCUUGGAGUCGAGAGGGUGCUGAUCGAUCAAGAGAGUUAUCCAGCAGCGGAGGAGGAGGAUGAUGAUAGGGCAGGGAUCGACGUCUAAGGGAGGAUUCUUGGGGUCGAGAGUUAGUUGGUUCUCAAGAGAAGUUCGCCGGAAGCAGCGGCGGGUGAAGGAGGACGAUGAUAGUGACGCUAUCGGCAAAUGAGGAAAAAUUCUUGGGUCGACAAGUAGCUGGUACGAUGAGUAGAAAUUCACCGGAAGAAGCGGAAGAGGAGGACGAUUAUAGGGUGGGGACAGGUGUCCGAGGGAGGAUUCUUGGUGUCGGGAGGUAGUUGGUUCGGACAAGAGAAGAUCGGCGGUGGCGGAGGAGGAGGACGAUGAUAGAGCCGGAUCGGCUUGUGAGGUAGGAUACUUGGGGUCAACGAGCAGCUGGUUCGAUGAAGAGAAGUUCACCGACUGCAGAGGCGACGGUGGCGGAGGAGGAUGAUGAUAGGGCAGGGAUCGGCAUGAGGGGAAGGAAUUCUUGGGGUGGAAAGGUAGUUCGAUCAAGAGAAGCCUCUUUGCCCGUCCCCUUGGGGGAUUUGUGAUAG